AUUGAACGCUGGCGGCAGGCCUAACACAUGCAAGUCGAGCGGUAACAGGAAAUAGCUUGCUAUUUUGCUGACGAGCGGCGGACGGGUGAGUAACGCGUAGGAAUUUGCCCAGUAGUGGGGGAUAGCCCGGAGAAAUUCGGAUUAAUACCGCAUACGCCCUAAGGGGGAAAGCAGGGGAUCUUCGGACCUUGCGCUAUUGGAUAAGCCUGCGUGAGAUUAGCUAGUUGGUGAGGUAAGGGCUCACCAAGGCGACGAUCUCUAGCUGGUCUGAGAGGAUGAUCAGCCACACUGGAACUGAGACACGGUCCAGACUCCUACGGGAGGCAGCAGUGGGGAAUAUUGCACAAUGGGCGAAAGCCUGAUGCAGCCAUGCCGCGUGUGUGAAGAAGGCUCUAGGGUUGUAAAGCACUUUCAGUAGGGAGGAAAAGUCGAUAGUUAAUACCUAUCGGCCGUGACGUUACCUACAGAAGAAGCACCGGCUAACUCCGUG
Molecule: ribosomal RNA, 490 nt
Filed under: uncultured bacterium
Lineage: Bacteria
Description: bacterial SSU rRNA
Rfam family: Bacterial small subunit ribosomal RNA
Source: RNAcentral